AGCCAAUAGAUACCCGGGUAGUCCACGCCGUAAACUAUGGAUGCUAGCUGUUAGAGGUAUCGACCCCUCUAGUAGCGAAAGCUAACGCGUUAAGCAUCCCGCCUGUGGAGUACGGUCGCAAGACUAAAACAUAAAGGAAUUGACGGGGACCCGCACAAGCGGUGGAGCGUGUUGUUUAAUUCGAUGGUAAGCGAAGAACCUUACCCAGGCUUGACAUCCUUGGAAUUUUGGCGAAAGCCGAGAGUGCCUUCGGGAACCAAGUGACAGGUGUUGCAUGGCCGUCGUCAGCUCGUGUCGUGAGAUGUUUGGUUAAGUCCAUCAACGAGCGCAACCCUUACUAGUUAGUUGAAUUUUCUAGCUAGACUGCCCUGGCAACAGGGAGGAAGGAGGGGAUGAUGUCAGGUCAGUAUUACCCUUACGUCUGGGGCUACAAACACGCUACAAUGGCCGGUACAAAGGGCAGCCAAGUCGCGAGACGGAGC
This 482-nucleotide ribosomal RNA is filed under the name uncultured bacterium. Its description in RNAcentral is "bacterial SSU rRNA". It matches the Rfam family "Bacterial small subunit ribosomal RNA", at positions 771 to 1268 of the family's 1533-position model. The record is from RNAcentral.